This 1219-nucleotide unclassified non-coding RNA is filed under the name Hevea brasiliensis (rubber tree). The record is from RNAcentral. Lineage: Eukaryota; Viridiplantae; Streptophyta; Magnoliopsida; Malpighiales; Euphorbiaceae.
GGUCGAUAAACAAAUCAAGAUGCCGCUUUUCAUACAAUACAUGGCAAAACAUCAGCAAUACAUAAAACAUUAUCCAGGAAUAACUUACACUUCACAUUUACUAGUUACUACAAGAGAUCACAACAACAUCAAAAAGGGGCAAAGAGAGGAGAGCCUAAGACCCUUAUGAACUCCCGUUUGAGUGCUGCGACUGUACGAUCAAUCUUAAUCGACCAUAAGCCUCUAGACAUGCAUAAGAAUAUUCUGACAUGACUCGGAAUAGUUCAGGCAACCGGAUCUUGAGACUCCCUAAUGACUUCUCCCUAACUUGAAUGCAGAGCCUCUGGUGAGCUUCUGUCUCCUCGUCCAACCUCUUCUUCAAUGUGUCCACAAGCAACUGCUUUUCCACAACAGGAUCUUUUGGGUUGGAGUCUGCAGCUCUAUCGGGAUCUGUCAUAUCGGGUGGAGUUCUACGUUGCAUAUACUUUUGAUACCAAUCUUCAAAUGCUUGCCUUUUGCGUAUGUACUCCUUUUUUGUUUCCUCACACUUAUCCUUCAGCUUCAUCUCUUCCUCCUGAUGAAUAAUGAUGGUCCUUAUCACUGCUUCAAAGGAAGCAAUGGCACUUCUGGCGAGCUCAUCAGGCAGCUUCUCAAGAAGUUCCUGCCAGGAGUGGAGAAGGGCUUGAAUUGGGGGACUCUGUGCUCGAGGAGGCGACGAGAUCUUUUCUUUUAGGCUGCUUUCAAUGGGUAUGAGAUUUAGCUUCAACCAGCUGUGGAGUGUUUGGAUGUAUAGCUUUUGAUUUUUCACAAGGUUGUCAAAAUGAUCAUGCCAUUCCUUGAUAACAUUACCAAGCUGGAUCGUACGUUCAUGAUGAUGUUUGCUUGUUUCCAAGGGGAACCCAGAGAUUUCAAUGGCUUUGAGAUCAGUAGCCAACUGCAGCUGGUUCUUGUGAUGACUAAACAUGAAUUCCCACAUGCUAACCAUCCCUUGAACAAGAGCAGCCAGCUUAGGGUAAAGCUGCUUGUCACGAAUGUCAUUUACUUCACUAACAGUCGAAUCCAAGGACUGCAUGUCAACUAUAUAUCGCGUAUGCAAAUGGCUAACAGCAGCCUUUGUCUUCUCCAGUGAUUCCAAGGUAGCAUUCCGUUUCUUCAGCUUGUUUAGCAAGGCAACUUUCCUCUGAUAUUCUUGCUUUAUAAGCUCACCAGCCUUCAUUUCAUCAUAAAGUUUCUUCUCCCA